This 709-nucleotide long non-coding RNA is filed under the name Homo sapiens (human). RNAcentral's name for it is "HSALNT0009816". The record is from RNAcentral. Lineage: Eukaryota; Metazoa; Chordata; Mammalia; Primates; Hominidae.
ACUUCAGUGAGGUCCUCCUCGGUGAGGGACGGUGCGGUGGGCUCCAUGGUGGAGGCGGGAGAUGGCGCUUCUUCCGGGUCCGGGAGCUCGGGCUGCGCCGCCCCGCCCUGGCUGGGGGCUUCGGCCUCCGGGUAAUGGGGAAGAAGGAGAGGAGGCGGAGCGGGUCGGGAGAAAGACGGCCGCCCCUUCGGGAACAGAGGGACUCGGGGGUCAAACCGUAGCGCUUCCGGCCCCGCCUCUGAGGUCGACGGCGACGCGAAUCUACGCGACGCGACGCGGAGCUCGGAGCAGCGUUCCUUCCCUCUCGUAGAGGCUCAGGCGCAGGCACCGCCCCACGGCGAGGCGCGUCGCUUAGCAGAGCCCGCCCUGUCUCUGCGGCAGCCUAUCGACGCCAGCCCGCGGGCCGAUCCUGUUCCCGCCCCCGACCGGAGCCUUUCGGGUGGCUCCGCCCACAGCGGGCGUUUCCUCAAGCCACGCCUGCGCAGGUCGUCGCAUCAUUUUCUUUUCCAAAAUUCAAAUCCGAAAAACAAUCGAAGUCAAGCCUUCUUCAUUUAACCUUUCUAAGAGACUGCAGAGUGAGGAUGAGUAAAGAAAUUAUAGAGUUCAUCUUUCAUCUUUUCCAACAUACUUCAGAAGAAGACAAAAACAACUGUGACCUCCUGUUUGGCAGUCCUAGAGCAUGAAGAAAUGAAUAAAGGCUCAAGAUAGC